Molecule: small nuclear RNA, 102 nt
Organism: Dipodomys spectabilis (banner-tailed kangaroo rat)
Lineage: Eukaryota; Metazoa; Chordata; Mammalia; Rodentia; Heteromyidae
Source: RefSeq, a predicted model, not a curated record
GUUCACUUGGGCAGCAUAUACUAAAAAUAGAACAAUACAGAGAAGAUUAGCAUGACUUCUAUACAAGGAUGACUUCAAAUUCGUGAAGCAUUCCAUGUUUUU